Molecule: ribosomal RNA, 409 nt
Filed under: Stenotrophomonas maltophilia
Lineage: Bacteria; Pseudomonadati; Pseudomonadota; Gammaproteobacteria; Lysobacterales; Lysobacteraceae
Description: bacterial LSU rRNA
Rfam family: Bacterial large subunit ribosomal RNA
Source: RNAcentral
UUUUGUAUAAUGGGUCAGCGACUUACUGUUCGUGGCAAGCUUAACCGUAUAGGGGAGGCGAAGGGAAACCGAGUCUGAUAAGGGCGCAUAGUCGCGGGCAGUAGACCCGAAACCGGGUGAUCUAGUCAUGCCCAGGGUGAAGGUGCGGUAACACGCACUGGAGGCCCGAACCCACUCCCGUUGCAAAGGUAGGGGAUGAGGUGUGAUUAGGAGUGAAAAGCUAAUCGAACCCGGAGAUAGCUGGUUCUCCUCGAAAGCUAUUUAGGUAGCGCCUCAUAUGUAUCCUCUCGGGGGUAGAGCACUGUUAUGGCUAGGGGGUCAUCGCGACUUACCAAACCAUUGCAAACUCCGAAUACCGAGACGGACUGUAUGGGAGACACACGGCGGGUGCUAACGUCCGUCGUGAAAA